RNAcentral lists this ribosomal RNA (595 nucleotides) under Salinivibrio sp. TA61. RNAcentral describes it as "bacterial SSU rRNA". It matches the Rfam family "Bacterial small subunit ribosomal RNA", at positions 201 to 775 of the family's 1533-position model. Lineage: Bacteria; Pseudomonadati; Pseudomonadota; Gammaproteobacteria; Vibrionales; Vibrionaceae. The record is from RNAcentral.
CCAAAGGUGGCCUCUACAUGUAAGCUAUCGCGUUGGGAUGGGCCCAGUUAGGAUUAGCUAGUUGGUAAGGUAAUGGCUUACCAAGGCGACGAUCNUUAGCUGGUUUGAGAGGAUGAUCAGCCACACUGGGACUGAGACACGGCCCAGACUCCUACGGGAGGCAGCAGUGGGGAAUAUUGCACAAUGGGGGAGACCCUGAUGCAGCCAUGCCGCGUGUGUGAAGAAGGCCUUCGGGUUGUAAAGCACUUUCAGCAGUGAGGAAGGUGGUGUACUUAAUAGGUGCAUGGCUUGACGUUAGCUGCAGAAGAAGCACCGGCUAACUCCGUGCCAGCAGCCGCGGUAAUACGGAGGGUGCGAGCGUUAAUCGGAAUUACUGGGCGUAAAGCGCAUGCAGGCGGUUUGUUAAGUCAGAUGUGAAAGCCCGGGGCUCAACCUCGGAACCGCAUUUGAAACUGGCAGGCUAGAGUCUUGUAGAGGGGGGUAGAAUUUCAGGUGUAGCGGUGAAAUGCGUAGAGAUCUGAAGGAAUACCAGUGGCGAAGGCGGCCCCCUGGACAAAGACUGACGCUCAGAUGCGAAAGCGUGGGUAGCAAACAG